RNAcentral lists this long non-coding RNA (266 nucleotides) under Brassica napus (rape). RNAcentral describes it as "long non-coding RNA (BNAP_LNC004390)". The record is from RNAcentral. Lineage: Eukaryota; Viridiplantae; Streptophyta; Magnoliopsida; Brassicales; Brassicaceae.
GAUUCUAUUUUCAGUUAGAGAGUAUAUUUUUCUAGUUAUCUCUAACACAGUCUGAACCCACCUUAUCGGAAAUAAUCUUCAAAUAUAUUUGUUUUUUUUGGGUGCAACUGGAAUACUUAUUUGUGGGAUAAAUUUAUCUGGAAUGCAUCAUUCCAUUGAAUUCCAUGAAAUAUUUACCAGUUAGCAUAUUUAACUUCCACGUAGACUUUAUUUAUCCCAUUCAAAUGCAACUAUCGAUUUGUUAUUACAAGAUUCUAUUUUCGGAU